GAGGUGAGCAUUAUAUUCAGAGGUUUACAGUAUACAGUUCAAAAAAGCUUGUAUUUUCUUGUCACAGACACACAUUUCUGGGUGCAUAUAGAACAGCUUAUACAUCAGGUUCUCAUGUCGAUCCAAUGGUAAUUUGAUAUCGCUGCCAUCACCAUAAUAUAGUGUAGCACAGAAUGGCCUUGUAUCAUACUUUGACAUCAUGAUGCAGAAAUGCCUUGGUCAUUCAUGUGGAGAUAUGACUAUCACGAUAGAAUUAGUUACGCCAAGUAACACGUCGUACACGUCAGGUAGCAGCUGAAAUAUUUUAAUAUUUGCCAUAAUAAGCCCAUAACCUGUUGGCAAAACAACCAAAACAUCUUCACCAUUUUACAUUUAAUAUGGCCGAGAUACAUUUGAAUGUCUCGUCUUUUAACGAAUAUUCAAGCCCUCUUUUCGCUAGAACAACUUUCAUAGCUCUUUCAGUAUUUGCCAUUGAAUAUAAUUUAAUAGUAUUACGAUUUAAAGCACCUUUAAACGUAUAAAAACCCAUUUUGUAUACUAUAUUCUGGUGAGAAUCUUUGUUUAAAAC
Molecule: non-coding RNA, 568 nt
Organism: Paramuricea clavata
Lineage: Eukaryota; Metazoa; Cnidaria; Anthozoa; Malacalcyonacea; Plexauridae
Source: the annotation of a GenBank genome assembly